AUGGCGUAGCUACCAUGCAGUCGAGCGGCAGCGGGAAAGUAGCUUGCUACUUUUUGCCGGCGAAGCGGCGGACGGGUGAGUAAUGCCUGGGGAUCUGCCCAGUCGAGGGGGAUAACUACUGGAAACGGUAGCUAAUACCGCAUACGCCCUACGGGGGAAAGCAGGGGACCUUCGGGCCUUGCGCGAUUGGAUGAACCCAGGUGGGAUUAGCUAGUUGGUGAGGUAAUGGCUCACCAAGGCGACGAUCCCUAGCUGGUCUGAGAGGAUGAUCAGCCACACUGGAACUGAGACACGGUCCAGACUCCUACGGGAGGCAGCAGUGGGGAAUAUUGCACAAUGGGGGAAACCCUGAUGCAGCCAUGCCGCGUGUGUGAAGAAGGCCUUCGGGUUGUAAAGCACUUUCAGCGAGGAGGAAAGGUUGGUAGCUAAUAACUGCCAGCUGUGACGUUACUCGCAGAAGAAGCACCGGCUAACUCCGUGCCAGCAGCCGCGGUAAUACGGAGGGGUGCAAGCGUUAAUCGGAAUUACUGGGCGUAAAGCGCACGCAGGCGGUUGGAUAAGUUAGAUGUGAAAGCCCCGGGCUCAACCUGGGAAUUGCAUUUAAAACUGUCCAGCUAGAGUCUUGUAGAGGGGGGUAGAAUUUCGAGUGUAGCGGUGAAAUGCGUAGAGAUCUGGAGGAAUACCGGUGGCGAAGCGGCCCCCUGGACAAAGACUGACGCUCACGUGCGAAAGCGUGGGGAGCAAAGCAGGAUUAGAUACCUGGUAGUCCACGCCGUAACGAUGUCGAUUUGGAGGCUGUGUCGUUGAGACGUGGCUUCGGAGCUAACGCGUUAGAUCGACUGCUUGGGGGAGUACGGCGCAAGGUAAGAGCUCAAUGAAUUGACUGGGGCCCGCGCAAGGCGGUGGGAGCAUGUGGUUUAAUUCGAUGCAACGCGAGACUACUACUGACAUGUUCUGGAAUCCUGCUAGAUAUUGGAGUGCUUCGGAAUCAACACAGUGCUGCAUGCUGUCUCAGCUCGGUCAUGCAAUGUGCUAAGUUCGACGAGCCUAACCAGUCUGGUGCGCACGUAUGUGCACUCAGUAACUGCAGGUUAACGCAAGGUUGAAUGAUCAAGUCAC
RNAcentral lists this ribosomal RNA (1119 nucleotides) under Aeromonas veronii. RNAcentral's name for it is "bacterial SSU rRNA". It matches the Rfam family "Bacterial small subunit ribosomal RNA", at positions 1 to 1193 of the family's 1533-position model. The record is from RNAcentral. Lineage: Bacteria; Pseudomonadati; Pseudomonadota; Gammaproteobacteria; Aeromonadales; Aeromonadaceae.